UACAGGGGGGGCAAGCGUUGUUCGGAAUUACUGGGCGUAAAGGGUCUGUAGGUGGCCAACUAAGUCAGACGUGAAAUCCCUCAGCUUAACUGGGGAACUGCGUCUGAUACUGGAUGGCUCGAGUGUGGGAGAGGAAUGCGGAAUUCCAGGUGUAGCGGUGAAAUGCGUAGAUAUCGGGAGGAACACCAGUGGCGAAGGCGGCGACCUGGGCAGAUACUGACACUGAGGUGCGAAAGCGUGGGGAGCAAACAGG
RNAcentral lists this ribosomal RNA (253 nucleotides) under uncultured bacterium. RNAcentral's name for it is "partial 16S ribosomal RNA". It matches the Rfam family "Bacterial small subunit ribosomal RNA", at positions 524 to 776 of the family's 1533-position model. The record is from RNAcentral.